This is a long non-coding RNA of Perca fluviatilis (European perch), 500 nucleotides long. RefSeq lists it as uncharacterized. NCBI's taxonomy places the organism in Eukaryota, Metazoa, Chordata, Actinopteri, Perciformes, Percidae. The transcript is spliced from 3 exons. The record is from RefSeq and is a predicted model, not a curated record.
GGGGGCGUAUGAAGGUAAUAUAUUUAGAUUUAUGUGAAAGGUGUUAAAAAAGUGGUGUUAGCCUAUGAUUAAAGGGGUGAAGAGGUGGAGGUAGGGUUAGAGUGACAGCUCGUCACACAGGGAGUGGUUUGUCCGCUUUUAAAAGACGUUGUCUCGACCUACCUGGCCUCUUUUCCCUGACGUUUUUAGCUAGCAUUUGUUAGCUAGCUAGCUUGUCCGUUCGUUUUUCCUUCGCCCUUCUCAACCAGACCAACGGUGUUUUGUUUUUUUCUAACUCGUUUGGUGGAGAAAAGCAAGAGGAAGACGUCUUGCAGUCAUGUCUACAAAGGCUAGUCUGCAUCAAUAGGGCCUUCUACGAAGAUUAGGAGUAAUGCUUCUUGGAACUCUGAUGAUGAUGAUUUUCAACAAGGGAGACCAGUAUUACAGAAUAUAAGUCAACUCUUAAAUCAGACCACUGGUGUAAUAAGAAAAAGAAGUCGAGCUGAACGCUCUAAGAAAGC